CUGGGAGCAUGAACUUCUGAGCAGUGAUCUGAAACUGAGCUCACAAUAUUUCUGAGGCAUGCCUGUACUGCCCUCUCCCAAGAAUGCCUACGUGACCAGCCCUCAGACUGGAUCUUCUGCCUCCAAAUUAUGUGAGAGACUGAGAGCUCUCUCUCUUCAUUUCCUCGUAAGGCCACCAAACCCGUCAGCACCUACUUACCUGACCAUUGUCUCAACUACAGCUGAUGGGAUCCAUGACAGAAGCUUAACCAAAACUAGCCCAUGAGAUUGUUUUUCUCAGGAAUGUAGAAAUGAGGCAGAGGUUAGCCACUGUCCGUGUGCUCUGGAGCUAAACGCAUGCACUUCUUUCUCCUGCUGCCCUGUGAA
RNAcentral lists this long non-coding RNA (366 nucleotides) under Homo sapiens (human). RNAcentral's name for it is "HSALNT0324363". The record is from RNAcentral. Lineage: Eukaryota; Metazoa; Chordata; Mammalia; Primates; Hominidae.